AUUAACGCUAGCGGCAGGCAUAAUACAUGCAAGUUGAACGGCAGCACAGGUAGCAAUACUGGGUGGCGAGUGGCGCACGGGUGCGUAACACGUAUGCAACCUACCCUAUACAGGCGAAUAACCUUUAGAAAUGAGGGCUAAUACGCCGUAGUAUUACAGAUGGGCAUCUAUUUGUAAUUAAAGAUUUAUCGGUAUAGGAUGGGCAUGCGUCCCAUUAGUUAGUUGGUAAGGUAACGGCUUACCAAGACGAUGAUGGGUAGGG
RNAcentral lists this ribosomal RNA (262 nucleotides) under uncultured bacterium. RNAcentral describes it as "partial 16S ribosomal RNA". It matches the Rfam family "Bacterial small subunit ribosomal RNA", at positions 29 to 288 of the family's 1533-position model. The record is from RNAcentral.